RNAcentral lists this ribosomal RNA (782 nucleotides) under uncultured bacterium. RNAcentral describes it as "partial 16S ribosomal RNA". It matches the Rfam family "Bacterial small subunit ribosomal RNA", at positions 1 to 762 of the family's 1533-position model. The record is from RNAcentral.
UUUAAGAANUUUUGAUNNCUUGGAUAAGGASGAAASRCUKGGGCGGGCGUNGAUUUAANCACAGUGCAAGUVAGAACGUAUGAAAGCCCGUUCRGGNGBGGGAUUAGUGGUGACACRGRUGAGUUDACAGCGUGAGCAAUCUGCCAUUCACUGUGGGACAAGMCCCUGRAAGACGGGGUCUAAUACNGRAUGAGASGCGCUCGGGCAUCCGAUGUGCGUAGAAAGCUCCGGCGGUGAAGGAUGAGCCCGUCGGCCUAUCAGCUUGUUGGUGAGGUAAUGGCUCUCCCAAGCCGACGACGGGUAGCCGMCCUGAGAGGGMGACCGGCCACACUGGGRCUGAGACGCGGCCCAGACUCUUACGGGAGGCAGCAGUGGGGAAUAUUGCACAAUGGGCGCAAGCCUGAUGCAGCGACGCCGCGUGAGGGAUGACGGCCUUCGGGUUGUAAACCUCUUUCAGCAGGGAAGAAGCGCAAGUGACGGUACCUGCAGAAGAAGCGCCGGCUAAUUACGUGCCAGCAGCCGCGGUAAUACGUAGGGCGCAAGCGUUGUCCGGAAUUAUUGGGCGUAAAGAGCUCGUAGGCGGCUUGUCACGUCGAUUGUGAAAGCCCGAGGCUUAACCUCGGSCCUGCAGUCGAUANCGGGCACGGCUAGAUGUGUGGUACGGGGAGAUCGGAAUUCCUGGUGUACGCGGUGAAAUGCGCAGAUAUACAGGAGGAAUCACCCCGGUGGCGAAGGGCGGAUACUCCUGGGCCCAUUAMCUAAACGNUACGACGCAAAGGNGG